Molecule: ribosomal RNA, 373 nt
Filed under: uncultured organism
Description: partial 16S ribosomal RNA
Rfam family: Bacterial small subunit ribosomal RNA
Source: RNAcentral
GUAGGUGGCAAGCGUUGUCCGGAAUUAUUGGGCGUAAAGCGCGCGCAGGUGGUUCUUUAAGUCUGAUGUGAACGCCCCCGGCUCAACCGGGGAGGGUCAUUGGAAACUGGGGAACUUGAGUGCAGGAGAGGAAAGUGGAAUUCCACGUGUAGCGGUGAAAUGCGUAGAUAUGUGGAGGAACACCAGUGGCGAAGGCGACUUUCUGGCCUGUAACUGACACUGAGGCGCGAAAGCGUGGGGAGCAAACAGGGAUUAGAUACCCUGGUAGUCCACGCCGUAAACGAUGAGUGCUAAGUGUUGGGGGGGUUUCCCGCCCCUCAGUGCUGCAGCUAACGCAUUAAGCACUCCGCCUGGGGAUACGGUCGCAAGACUG